Molecule: ribosomal RNA, 138 nt
Filed under: uncultured eukaryote
Lineage: Eukaryota
Description: partial 18S ribosomal RNA
Rfam family: Eukaryotic small subunit ribosomal RNA
Source: RNAcentral
UGGUGGAGUGAUUUGUCUGCUUAAUUGCGUUAACGAACGAGACCUUAACCUGCUAAAUAGUUAUGCCAACCUGGGUUGGUAGCCAACUUCUUAGAGGGACUGUCGGCAUCAAGCCGACGGAAGUUUGAGGCAAUAACA